UCCACCAAAGGCGAGCCUAGCAGAGGGACAUUACACAAUAAAAUACGAAGGCCGUUCGCGGCUGGACUAUUUAUUACCCUUGUCUUUUGCGCACUUGUUGUUUCCUGGGCGGGUUCGCUCGCCACCAGGACCACAAUAUAAACCUUUUUUAUGCAGUUGCAAUCAGCGUCAGUAUAACAAAUGUAAAUCAUUUACAACUUUCAACAACGGAUCUCUUGGUUCUGGCAUCGAUGAAGAACGCAGCGAAAUGCGAUACGUAGUGUGAAUUGCAGAAUUCAGUGAAUCAUCGAAUCUUUGAACGCACAUUGCGCCCUUUGGUAUUCCAAAGGGCAUGCCUGUUCGAGCGUCAUUUGUACCCUCAAGCUUUGCUUGGUGUUGGGCGUUUUUGUCUUUGGCCCGCCAAAGACUCGCCUUAAAAUGAUUGGCAGCCGGCCUACUGGUUUCGCAGCGCAGCACAUUUUUGCGCUUGCAAUCAGCAAAAGAGGACGGCAAUCCAUCAAGACUCCUUCUCACGUUUGACCUCGGAUCAGGUAGGGAUACCCGCUGAACUUAAGCAUAUCAAUAAGCGGAGGACA
This 575-nucleotide ribosomal RNA is filed under the name Bipolaris tetramera. Its description in RNAcentral is "eukaryotic LSU rRNA". The stretch from base 196 to 349 matches the Rfam family "5.8S ribosomal RNA". Lineage: Eukaryota; Fungi; Ascomycota; Dothideomycetes; Pleosporales; Pleosporaceae. The record is from RNAcentral.